CCUACGGGGGGCAGCAGUGAGGAAUAUUGGUCAAUGGGCGCGAGCCUGAACCAGCCAAGUCGCGUGAGGGAAGACGGUCCUAUGGAUUGUAAACCUCUUUUUUCGGGGAGAAAAAGACGCCACGCGUGGCGUUCCGAGAGUACCCGAAGAAAAAGCAUCGGCUAACUCCGUGCCAGCAGCCGCGGUAAUAGGGAGGAUGCAAGCGUUAUCCGGAUUUAUUGGGUUAAAAGGGUGCGCAGGCGGAAGAUCAAGUCAGCGGGAAAAUUGAGAGGCUCAACCUCUUCGAGCCGUUGAAACUGGUUUUCUUGAGUGAGUGAGAAGCAUGCGGAAUGCGUGGUGUAGCGGUGAAAUGCAUAGAUAUCACGCAGAACUCCGAUUGCGAAGGCAGCAUACCGGCGCUCAACUGACGCUCAUGCACGAAAGUGUGGGUAUCGAACAGGAUUAGAUACCCUGGUAGUC
This 459-nucleotide ribosomal RNA is filed under the name uncultured bacterium. Its description in RNAcentral is "partial 16S ribosomal RNA". It matches the Rfam family "Bacterial small subunit ribosomal RNA", at positions 338 to 795 of the family's 1533-position model. The record is from RNAcentral.